AAAGAUGACAAUAAAUGGCAAAAUGGAGCAAUUUGGAGCAGUUUUGGAUUUGGAUUGGACAUCAUGGUUGGAUAACAUAUGGGGUGACGUUUUUGGUGUUUAAAUGGUGCUAGAUUUGUGCUAAAAUCUGGAUGAAUUAAAAUUGAGGCUUGGAAGAUAAAGAAUUAGACAAGAAAGAGCAACCUUAUCCAACCUUAUCUUAUCCUAUCUUAUCUUACCUUAUCUUAUCUCCAGCUGCAAAGAGGAAUCCUUAUCACAUUCUAACACUUCCUAUCUGAUUCUAGGAGUCCUAAAAUAAUUCAAAUGAUCUAAUCCUUUUCCUCCUAGGGUUAGCUGUGCCUUUGCCCUAUAAAAACAAAUUGAGCCGUAAAUAUGGGAAGGGGGGAGAAAAGAGUGCCGCAUCCUGCCUCCAGAAAAGAGUGCCGAAUCUGCCAAUCAACCAUUGGAGUUUCCAGAGUUCUUUCUAUUCUUAUUUAGUUUCAAUGUUUAUUUAAAUUGCUUUUCAAUUAUGAUGAAUAUGUGUAGCUAAGUUUCUUUUUAGCUAGAGGUGAAUUCAAAGCCAUGAUCAUAUGUUUUAUAUGAAUUGAUUACAUCCAGUUAUUGUUUCAUAAGACAUUAAUGCGAUUUACUUAUCUGCUGUAUAGAGAACUUAUUCUUGUAUGUUUAUUAAGGAUGCAUACUUAGUUUGCAUGCAGGGAUUUGAUGAUAGAAUAUAAGGGAAUUUCACCUAAUCGUUAUGAACUUAUAUUUCCAAGUAGUAAAAGUCACUGGUCAUGACUGAGUUAAGUAAAUUAUUGGCAGGAGUUUCAUGCUUUUCAUAGUUACGAAUGCUUCGUCAAUGCUUAUGAUUUUCACAGAACUUAAUGAUCUUCGAGAUGUAUCUCUAUCAUGCUUUUCAUAGUUAGGGAACUUGAGAAGAAUAAUUUAAUUGCGACGCUGAGUCCAAAUCAAUAAACCUAGGAAAAUUUGAGAGUUAAUUUGUGCAGUUCACAGUUAAUUUGGGGCAUUGUCAUUCAUGGUUUAUAGAAAUGAUAACUAGAAAUCGAUUUGUAUGCAUAUGUUUCAUGUGUGGAGAACAAUCCUCUAGCUAGCCUUUCACCUAUAUCUCAUACAAGACCUAAUUCGUUUGCUGCAAUUUACUUAAUUUUUGUUAAAAUUCGUCCAAACACCUCCUCAGUUCUUAUUUUGUGUUAGUCUAGCUUAGUUUUCAGUUUUUAAGUUUAAUUUGUGUUGAUUAGCAUCCCUCCUAAUCGAUUUGUGUGUUAGUUUAUACCACAUCAUAGGUCACAGUGAUUAUAUUCGUAAAAGUAUAAGCAUGCCGAAUCGACACCAAACUAUAUGGGCACAAGUACUCAAAGCAAAUGUGCGUCUUAAUCGUAAAUGUAGUUCGGCCAUCAGAAUGCCGAACUCUAAAUCCCACUUGUGAGUAUCCAAUCG
RNAcentral lists this long non-coding RNA (1437 nucleotides) under Malus domestica (apple). RNAcentral describes it as "long non-coding RNA (MDOM_LNC008635)". Lineage: Eukaryota; Viridiplantae; Streptophyta; Magnoliopsida; Rosales; Rosaceae. The record is from RNAcentral.